GCCUGGCUAGCUCAAUCGGUAGAGCGUGAGACUCUUAAUUGAUGUCAUCUCAAGGUUGUGGGUUCGACCCCCACGUUAGGCU
Rhizoctonia solani AG-1 IA is the source of this 82-nucleotide transfer RNA. It matches the Rfam family "tRNA". Rfam says of the family: Transfer RNA (tRNA) molecules are approximately 80 nucleotides in length. Their secondary structure includes four short double-helical elements and three loops (D, anti-codon, and T loops). Further hydrogen bonds mediate the characteristic L-shaped molecular structure. tRNAs have two regions of fundamental functional importance: the anti-codon, which is responsible for specific mRNA codon recognition, and the 3' end, to which the tRNAs corresponding amino acid is attached (by aminoacyl-tRNA synthetases). tRNAs cope with the degeneracy of the genetic code in two manners: having more than one tRNA (with a specific anti-codon) for a particular amino acid; and 'wobble' base-pairing, i.e. permitting non-standard base-pairing at the 3rd anti-codon position. The record is from Rfam. NCBI's taxonomy places the organism in Eukaryota, Fungi, Basidiomycota, Agaricomycetes, Cantharellales, Ceratobasidiaceae.